AUCCAAGUCUCUCUUCUUCCCCAUUCAGCAGAGGCAGCGUGAAACACAUUUAGGGGAAGAGAGAAACGAAGAACGUUUCCAACCCUCACGGUAAAUUUAAUUUGCCGUAACUCCUCCGUCCGAGCUCCGAUCGCCGCACUGUUUGUGGCCACGCGUCCACCGCGUCGAGCUCUACAUUUCUACCGAAACAAUUUCAUAGGAUCCAAUUAGCUUGAGGAAAACGUUCACUCUUGCUUAUGUGAAGCUUGGAUAAGGUUGUAAAUAAAUAAUUGGAGCUUGAAAUUGUGAAUACUGGAGCUUGGAGGAAGCGGAUUAGUUGAGGUUUUGAGGGCUGUGUUCUUUUAGGAAAAUUGUCUUAGAAUAAUUCUUGGGAAUCGGCUAAGGUAUGGUUUAG
Molecule: non-coding RNA, 394 nt
Organism: Arachis ipaensis
Lineage: Eukaryota; Viridiplantae; Streptophyta; Magnoliopsida; Fabales; Fabaceae
Source: RefSeq, a predicted model, not a curated record